GCUAGAUUUAGUGCCGCCUUGUAUGUUUCUAGUUUUUUCCUUUUUGUAUGUAAGGAAAUUACUGUUAUACUUUGGUGGCAGAAAUUU
Arabis alpina (gray rockcress) is the source of this 87-nucleotide non-coding RNA. The record is from Rfam. NCBI's taxonomy places the organism in Eukaryota, Viridiplantae, Streptophyta, Magnoliopsida, Brassicales, Brassicaceae.